CAGAUGUAGUUUAGUGGUAGAACAUUGCCUUCCCAAGGCGACAGUGGGGGUUCGAUUCCCCUCAUCUG
RNAcentral lists this transfer RNA (68 nucleotides) under pig gut metagenome. It matches the Rfam family "tRNA". From Rfam's summary of the family: Transfer RNA (tRNA) molecules are approximately 80 nucleotides in length. Their secondary structure includes four short double-helical elements and three loops (D, anti-codon, and T loops). The record is from RNAcentral.